This 414-nucleotide ribosomal RNA is filed under the name uncultured bacterium. RNAcentral describes it as "partial 16S ribosomal RNA". It matches the Rfam family "Bacterial small subunit ribosomal RNA", at positions 355 to 784 of the family's 1533-position model. The record is from RNAcentral.
UGGGGAAUCUUGGACAAUGGGGGCAACCCUGAUCCAGCCAUGCCGCGUGGGUGAUGAAGGCCUUAGGGUCGUAAAGCCCUUUCGCCGGGGAAGAUAACGACGGUACCCGGUAAAGAAGCCCCGGCUAACUCCGUGCCAGCAGCCGCGGUAAUACGGAGGGGGCUAGCGUUGUUCGGAAUGACUGGGCGUAAAGCGCGCGUAGGGCGGCUGCAGAAAGUUGGGGGUGAAAUCCCGGGGCUCAACCUCGGAAUGGCCUUCAAAACUCCUGGUCUUGAGUUCGAGAGAGGUGAGUGGAAUUCCGAGUGUAGAGGUGAAAUUCGUAGAUAUUCGGAGGAACACCAGUGGCGAAGGCGGCUCACUGGCUCGACACUGACGCUGAGGUGCGAAAGCGUGGGGAGCAAACAGGAUUAGAUA